CAGUAGCCGCGGUAAUACGAAGGGUGCAAGCGUUAAUCGGAAUUACUGGGCGUAAAGGGCGUGUAGGCGGCCUGGGGCGUCCCAUGUGAAAGGCCACGGCUCAACCGUGGAGGAGCGUGGGAUACGCUCAGGCUAGAGGGUGGGAGAGGGUGGUGGAAUUCCCGGAGUAGCGGUGAAAUGCGCAGAUACCGGGAGGAACGCCGAUGGCGAAGGCAGCCACCUGGUCCACUUCUGACGCUGAGGCGCGAAAGCGUGGGGAGCAAACCGGAUUAGAUACCCGAGUAGUCCCUGUCUCUUAUAC
This 301-nucleotide ribosomal RNA is filed under the name uncultured bacterium. RNAcentral describes it as "partial 16S ribosomal RNA". It matches the Rfam family "Bacterial small subunit ribosomal RNA", at positions 509 to 807 of the family's 1533-position model. The record is from RNAcentral.